GCGGCGGACGGGUGAGUAACACGUGGGCAACCUGCCCUGUAGAUUGGGAUAACUCCGGGAAACCGGGGCUAAUACCGAAUAAUCCAUUUCCUCACAUGGGGAGAUGUUAAAAGACGGCAUCUCGCUGUCACUACAGGAUGGGCCCGCGGCGCAUUAGCUAGUUGGUGAGGUAACGGCUCACCAAGGCGACGAUGCGUAGCCGACCUGAGAGGGUGAUCGGCCACACUGGGACUGAGACACGGCCCAAACUCCUACGGGAGGCAGCAGUAGGGAAUCUUCCACAAUGGACGAAAGUCUGAUGGAGCAAUGCCGCGUGAGUGAAGAAGGUUUUCGGAUCGUAAAACUCUGUUGUGAGGGAAGAACAAGUACGAGAGUAACUGCUCGUACCUUGACGGUACCUCAUUAGAAAGCCACGGCUAACUACGUGCCAGCAGCCGCGGUAAUACGUAGGUGGCAAGCGUUGUCCGGAAUUAUUGGGCGUAAAGCGCGCGCAGGCGGUCCUUUAAGUCUGAUGUGAAAUCCCACGGCUCAACCGUGGAAGGUCAUUGGAAACUGGGGGACUUGAGUACAGAAGAGGAAAGCGGAAUUCCAAGUGUAGCGGUGAAAU
RNAcentral lists this ribosomal RNA (607 nucleotides) under Psychrobacillus sp. I14B-01186. Its description in RNAcentral is "bacterial SSU rRNA". It matches the Rfam family "Bacterial small subunit ribosomal RNA", at positions 95 to 687 of the family's 1533-position model. Lineage: Bacteria; Bacillati; Bacillota; Bacilli; Caryophanales; Bacillaceae. The record is from RNAcentral.